AUGAGAUCAGAAAUGUGACGUCACCGGUGAAUGUUUCUCAACCAGAAUUUGAAGUCAGGAUCUCUAGCACCGUGACUGAAGCUGCCAUCGACUUCAACGACCAGGCCGUGCCGUUGACGUUAACGAUACGGUGUACUGACGGCAACCCCGUCAACGUCAUCACCGGGACUUUCAACGUCAAUAUCGUUGAUGAGGACCCAGUUCUAACGUCGUUUCCUACGACGUCAUAUCAGUUCCUAGAAGACACUUCCGUCUCCGCUCUGGAGCUAAACUCAUUCAGCCUUAAAGAUUCUGAUGACGUCAUAUCUGCUUGAUGUCAUCUGUCAAAUCUGAAAAUCAACGUCAAAGCGUUUCGGAUUUGGUACAAGGGACGCCCGCGAGCGUCCUUGAACUAUGACGUCACGCCCGUUCAUAACAUCGGGAUUAUUUGCGACGACGGUAAAGUC
Dreissena polymorpha is the source of this 446-nucleotide long non-coding RNA. RefSeq lists it as uncharacterized. The record is from RefSeq and is a predicted model, not a curated record. NCBI's taxonomy places the organism in Eukaryota, Metazoa, Mollusca, Bivalvia, Myida, Dreissenidae. The transcript is spliced from 4 exons.